GGAAAGUGAAGAGCUUCCUUUAGCCCAAAUAUGGAGGGCUGAGGUGACAUUCGGAAAUACGUCGACCCGACUUUAACCUACGAGCUCGAUUCGUUGUUCAGGGGUGAGCUCGGCUCCGCCCAGGAGCUCGUGGCUCGUUGUUUUUUCUUUCCCUCUUUUUUUUCGGUGUAAAUUUGCACAUUUUUGAACUUUGGCUCAUGGGCACACGGCACACGAGCCGCUCACGGGCUCAGCCCAUGGGAUUGAGUCCCUUGCUCGGCUCGAGCUCGAGCUCGUUAUUUGACGAGCCCGAGCCGAGCGAUCGAGCCGCUCGACCUGCCCAAGCUCAAGUCGAGUGGUCUAACCGACGAGCCACUCGACUCGUUUGACAUCCUUAAUUAGAGCUGCCAUCUCAUGCAUUAGGUUAUGCUUAUCAUUUACAAUAUAUAUUGAAAAGUUUAACCAAUGCAUGAUGUGGGAGCAACUCCUUUGGCUUGAUUCCAUCACUCUUUCGGGAUAGGGAGCUCUCAGUUCCAUUCCUAGUGAUCACUCAACACAUUUUUUUUCCUUUUUUCUUGUUUUUUUGGUUAUAAUGAAAUUGUAUUUAAAAGUUUGCAGAAUGUUGAGAAGAAAAAUAGCAGAAGGGAUUUCUUCACCGAAGGCAGAAGCUCGGAAAAUUAAUGAAAUUUUACACCGUGCAAGAGAAUGAAAUUGUGCCUUGUGUUAUUCAUUAAUGUGAUUGAUGCAACAUGAAAGACGAAAGAUUCAAUGCACUCUAAAUAUCUGUCGAUUUUAUGAAUAUGGAAUGAUUGGAUGUCUAAGAUUCAACGCACUCCCAUCAUAUAAGUUAGAAGAACCGUGCUAGCUGUACAGGCC
This 855-nucleotide long non-coding RNA is filed under the name Olea europaea subsp. europaea. The record is from RNAcentral. Lineage: Eukaryota; Viridiplantae; Streptophyta; Magnoliopsida; Lamiales; Oleaceae.